ACAGACAUCAGUGAUUCAUUUUGCGAACCUUGCCCAACGGCCAGAUAAGCAUUCAUGCCCAGCUCUUUCAUCUGCUGCUCGCCGAUAACACGGGUGCUGACGUUGGGGCUGAAGCUAUCUGCCAAUUGGCGCGCCUGAGAUGCCAGAUAUCCUGCGUUACAGAUAUUCGGCGGCAUAUUGCCAAGAUCUUUCGC
This 194-nucleotide antisense RNA is filed under the name Hafnia paralvei. Its description in RNAcentral is "Yersinia sRNA 276". It matches the Rfam family "Yersinia sRNA 276". The record is from RNAcentral. Lineage: Bacteria; Pseudomonadati; Pseudomonadota; Gammaproteobacteria; Enterobacterales; Hafniaceae.